GAUGAACGCUGGCGGCGUGCCUAAUACAUGCAAGUCGAGCGAACAGACGAGGAGCUUGCUCCUUUGACGUUAGCGGCGGACGGGUGAGUAACACGUGGAUAACCUACCUAUAAGACUGGGAUAACUUCGGGAAACCGGAGCUAAUACCGGAUAACAUGUUGAACCGCAUGGUUCAACAGUGAAAGACGGUCUUGCUGUCACUUAUAGAUGGAUCCGCGCCGCAUUAGCUAGUUGGUAAGGUAACGGCUUACCAAGGCAACGAUGCGUAGCCGACCUGAGAGGGUGAUCGGCCACACUGGAACUGAGACACGGUCCAGACUCCUACGGGAGGCAGCAGUAGGGAAUCUUCCGCAAUGGGCGAAAGCCUGACGGAGCAACGCCGCGUGAGUGAAGAAGGUCUUCGGAUCGUAAAACUCUGUUAUUAGGGAAGAACAAAUGUGUAAGUAACUAUGCACGUCUUGACGGUACCUAAUCAGAAAGCCACGGCUAACUACGUA
This 497-nucleotide ribosomal RNA is filed under the name uncultured bacterium. RNAcentral describes it as "partial 16S ribosomal RNA". It matches the Rfam family "Bacterial small subunit ribosomal RNA", at positions 28 to 507 of the family's 1533-position model. The record is from RNAcentral.